Molecule: long non-coding RNA, 1466 nt
Filed under: Selaginella moellendorffii
Lineage: Eukaryota; Viridiplantae; Streptophyta; Lycopodiopsida; Selaginellales; Selaginellaceae
Description: long non-coding RNA (SMOE_LNC001997)
Source: RNAcentral
AUCUCCUGCUCGUCCGAGUGUGGCGGACAAAUUCAUUUUCCCCUUAUCUCCGUCUCCAUCCUCUAGCUGGCUGGAAGCUGACGCUUUGAAUCGCGAAAUUCUCAUGGUAUCGACCUCUCCGCUGAAAAGUCACCUAUCAAUGCGAAGCAGUGACAGUAAGGAUGAGAUCGCUGAAGGAAGCUACCAACCUCAAACGCCGGAACUAAAAGUUGUGCCACCAGCCUUUCGCACUGAAGAAGAAUUCGCAGAGUCUUCGCCCAGUAGUAUCAUCAGCGAGCCCCUGCCUGCGGAUCCCAAGGUUAGAUUUACAAGAACAGCAUUUUGUUCUGACUCUCUCGUGCAGGCUGGAGAUCUGGAGCAAAUAAACAUGCUCAAGCAGCAGUUACAAAAUGCCAUCGUGGCUGCAAACAAAGCAAAAGAAUCUGCCGACGCUGAAACACUACGGAGCCAGGAAGCUCGCGAGAACGCUGAUUGGGCUUUAAAACGGGUAAACUGGAGAUGCUAUCGUCAAAAGUCUUACGAUUUCAUGGCAUUCCAGGCGGAAAUAUUGAUGCGAGCGGUCGAGGAGGACAAUCAGCGAGAGUAUAACGCAGCAAAGAAAUUAGAUGAGGAAUCGCAGAAGCGUGCUGAAGCUCUCACGCUUGUCAACUCGAUGAAAAAAGCACUGGUGGACGAAAUCCGGAGAAGGAAGGAAAUGGAAAACAGGAUAGAGCUCCAAUGUAAAGCAGAAGCUGAGAGAGAGGCCAACAGGCAACAACUGCUCAAGUACACACAAUUCACGUUUGAGGAACUCCGAGACAUCACAGACAACUUUUCUGAGAACAACAAAAUAGGAGAGGGAUCAUACGGUCACGUCUACAAAGGCACUCUCCACAGGACCAACGUAGCAGUCAAGGUUCUAAGACAUGAUAGUUGGCAAGGACCACAAGAGUUCGAACAAGAGGUACGUAAACUCACUCGAAUUUCUAAAAUCUCUAACAAGCAUGGGAAAAUAAAGGUGGAAGUGCUGAGCCGACUACACCAUCCUCACAUCGUUCUACUGCUAGGCGGAAAUCCGGAAAAGAAAUGCCUUGUCUACGAGUACCUGGAAAACGGGAGCUUGGAAGAUCGACUGUUCUGCAAGGACGACUCGCCGCCAAUCUCAUGCCUCACGAGGUACCAGAUUGCGGUGGAAGUCGGCACAGCGCUCCUCUUCCUCCACAAGGCAAAGCCACAGCCGAUCGUGCUCCGGGACCUCAAGCCUUCCAACAUCCUGCUAGACAAAAACUACAACAGUAAGAUCAGCGACGUUGGGUUGGCAAGAUUCAUGCCAGGCGACGCGACAAGCGUGAGGAGCACAUCACCUGUGGGAACGUUCGCGUACAUCGAUCCGGAGUACCAGCGGGAAGGCAGCUUCAAUGCAAAGUCGGACGUGUUUGCGUUUGGGAUCAUCCUGCUCCAGCUCCUCACCGCGACGAGCCCGGUUG